CACCCCUAGAUCUAGGAGGCAGCUGGAAGCCCAGCUCAAGGAGGCAAGAGGUUCCCCCUGGCUGGUUGCUCUAAUUGGCCAGUGAUCUCUGCCUGUUGAAUUGGCUUUAGAGUCUCCCAGGACAGCCCCUCCCCUUUGCCUCUCCCCAACUCCAGGAGCCUGGCUGUCUCUAGUGAAGAGUGGAGAUUCAGAUUCAGAGGGAGGGAAGGUCUGACCUGUGUGGUGACCUGUAACCAGCUGAAGGCAGCAGGGCUUUUGUGGUGUGCUGAGGAUGGGGGUGGGAGAGGGGCUGGGAAACUCAGUGUCGAAAUAGCCUAGAGGAACAGAAGCCCCAUAUUCAGGGGCUGAACUGAUCUCCUAAUUCACAAUCCCCAGGGGCAUUUCUAAAAGCCAGUGAACAGAUCUGGAGGGGAACGUCCCCCCAGUCCAGUCACUGACUCCCCCGGGGAGGCUGGGGUGGUACACAGGAGGGUGGGGGGUGGGCACUGUGCCUGGCCCUGUCUCUCUGUUUCAAAGUUUGGCUGUGCUGUUCAGUUGUCCCCAGUGGCCUUGUCUUGCUUAAUCAGAGGUGGAAAAAGAUCACCUCCCGGUGACCUCCUUCAGGCCCCAGGGGAUGGGCUGUGUCCAGAGCUGUGUGGCAGAGCUUGUCUCCAGGGUCCAGAGAGGCCCAGCUGGCCUGCCUUGCUGCCCCAGCCACGAAACCCAAGCCCAACCUCAAGCAUGGCAGGGAGUGGGUGUUGGGGACAGUCUAGCCAAGGCCUCUGUCUGCCCCAAGCUUUCCAGGAACUAAGUAGUGAAGUCACUGUGACCGUCCUGGUCAGUGAGGAGAAUAUUCUGGUGAGAGCUUCCGUUUCUGGGAACUUGAGAGGGAGUGGGUACGGGUGCAUGGAGUAGCAAAAGACCCCAGCCUUCGUGGCUCUGCAGGAUGUGGGGGAAUCAGUACUGUGGCCACCAUUCCCCCAGUGGAGCAAACUGGCUCUGUGAAUAUAAGACUUGUGGAGGCAGGCUAUCCUGGCCUCAUACCCUGGCUGGACCCAGAGGGACACAGGGUGGAGCCACAGGCAUUUAAACUUUCUCUGGCUCCCUGUGGGCUGCAGGCCUAGGGGACAGAGCCUCACGGGAACAGCAGAACAAAGCUGGUCUCUUCCAUAAGUGCCCAGCUUUGGCCAAGGUGCUAUGAGAUACGUGGCCCCCAGCUUGCACUGCCCCUCUCUCUACAGCUGUCUGUCUCUACCCCUUCUCUGGGUCCACAGCAAGUGACAUGGGGAGACCCAGUGAGAUGUAGCAUUUCCUCCAUCCCCAGUUCAGUUGGCAUGGGGUCUGGGCAUUUCUGCCUUAAGGAAAGGAAUGGGGACUGUUAUGUUUUAACCUGUAUAUAAUAUUUGACUGUUUUGGUUCUUUAUUUGUAUACAUGUGUAAAUACCCUCUCACCCAUCAAGUGGUACCGUUUUUAAUAAAACCAUUUAAAUCAG
Molecule: long non-coding RNA, 1472 nt
Filed under: Rattus norvegicus (Norway rat)
Lineage: Eukaryota; Metazoa; Chordata; Mammalia; Rodentia; Muridae
Description: long non-coding RNA NONRATT019591
Source: RNAcentral